UGCAGUCGAACGGCAGCGCGGGGCAACCUGGCGGCGAGUGGCGAACGGGUGAGUAAUAUAUCGGAACGUGCCCUGGAGUGGGGGAUAACGCAGCGAAAGUUGCGCUAAUACCGCAUACGAUCUAAGGAUGAAAGCGGGGGAUUCGCAAGAACCUCGUGCUCCUGGAGCGGCCGAUAUCUGAUUAGCUAGUUGGUGGGGUAAAGGCCUACCAAGGCAUCGAUCAGUAGCUGGUCUGAGAGGACGACCAGCCACACUGGAACUGAGACACGGUCCAGACUCCUACGGGAGGCAGCAGUGGGGAAUUUUGGACAAUGGGCGAAAGCCUGAUCCAGCAAUGCCGCGUGAGUGAAGAAGGCCUUCGGGUUGUAAAGCUCUUUUGUCAGGGAAGAAACGGUGAAGGCUAAUAUCCUUUGCUAAUGACGGUACCUGAAGAAUAAGCACCGGCUAACUACGUGCCAGCAGCCGCGGUAAUACGUAGGGUGCAAGCGUUAAUCGGAAUUACUGGGCGUAAAGCGUGCGCAGGCGGUUUUGUAAGUCUGUCGUGAAAUCCCCGGGCUCAACCUGGGAAUUGCGAUGGAGACUGCAAGGCUAGAAUCUGGCAGAGGGGGGUAGAAUUCCACGUGUAGCAGUGAAAUGCGUAGAGAUGUGGAGGAACACCGAUGGCGAAGGCAGCCCCCUGGGUCAAGAUUGACGCUCAUGCACGAAAGCGUGGGGAGCAAACAGGAUUAGAUACCCUGGUAGUCCACGCCCUAAACGAUGUCUACUAGUUGUCGGGUUUUAAUUAACUUGGUAACGCAGCUAACGCGUGAAGUAGACCGCCUGGGGAGUACGGUCGCAAGAUUAAAACUCAAAGGAAUUGACGGGGACCCGCACAAGCGGUGGAUGAUGUGGAUUAAUUCGAUGCAACGCGAAAAACCUUACCUACCCUUGACNUGUACGGAAGCCACGAGAGAUCGAGGCGUGCUCGAAAGANAGCCGUAACACNGNNGCUGCAUGGCUGUCGUCAGCUCGU
Molecule: ribosomal RNA, 1012 nt
Filed under: uncultured bacterium
Lineage: Bacteria
Description: bacterial SSU rRNA
Rfam family: Bacterial small subunit ribosomal RNA
Source: RNAcentral